AGUCGAACGCUAUUUAUAGAGUGGCGCACGGGUGAGUAACACGUGGGAACCUACCUUUUUCUGCGGGAUAACGGUUGGAAACGAUCGCUAAUACCGCAUACGCCCUACGGGGGAAAGGUCCGCCGGAGAAAGAGGGGCCCGCGUCUGAUUAGCUAGUUGGUGGGGUAAUGGCUUACCAAGGCGACGAUCAGUAGCUGGUCUGAGAGGAUGAUCAGCCACACUGGGACUGAGACACGGCCCAGACUCCUACGGGAGGCAGCAGUGGGGAAUAUUGGACAAUGGGGGCAACCCUGAUCCAGCAAUGCCGCGUGUGUGAUGAAGGCCUUAGGGUUGUAAAGCACUUUCACUGGUGAAGAUGAUGACGGUAACCAGAGAAGAAGCCCCGGCUAACUUCGUGCCAGCAGCCGCGGUAAUACGAAGGGGGCGAGCGUUGUUCGGAAUUACUGGGCGUAAAGGGCGCGUAGGCGGUCUUUUAAGUUAGGCGUGAAAGCCCCCGGGCUCAACCCGGG
Molecule: ribosomal RNA, 509 nt
Filed under: uncultured marine bacterium
Lineage: Bacteria
Description: bacterial SSU rRNA
Rfam family: Bacterial small subunit ribosomal RNA
Source: RNAcentral